This 393-nucleotide unclassified non-coding RNA is filed under the name soil metagenome. RNAcentral describes it as "partial contains 5.8S ribosomal RNA, internal transcribed spacer 2, and large subunit ribosomal RNA". The stretch from base 1 to 122 matches the Rfam family "5.8S ribosomal RNA", at positions 35 to 154 of the family's 154-position model. The record is from RNAcentral.
GAUGAAGAACGUAGCGAAAUGCGAUACUUGGUGUGAAUUGCAGAAUCCCGUGAACCAUCGAGUCUUUGAACGCAAGUUGCGCCCGAAGCCAUCAGGUUGAGGGCACGUCUGCCUGGGCGUCACAUAUCGUUGCCCAAUGCCUAUUGCAGUGCAAUAGGAAUUUCUAGGGCGAAUGAUGGCUUCCCGUGAGCGUUGUUGCCUCGCGGUUGGUUGAAAAUCGAGUCCUUGGUAGGGUGUGCCAUGGUAGAUGGUGGUCGAGUUAGAACGAUACCGAUCAUGUGCAUGCUCCCCAAAAUAUGGCCUCUAUGACCCACACGCGUCUUUUGACGCUCAUGACGAGACCUCAGGUCAGGCGGGGCUACCCGCUGAAUUUAAGCAUAUCAAUAAGCGGAG